Solanum tuberosum (potato) is the source of this 870-nucleotide long non-coding RNA. RefSeq lists it as uncharacterized. The transcript is spliced from 3 exons. The record is from RefSeq and is a predicted model, not a curated record. NCBI's taxonomy places the organism in Eukaryota, Viridiplantae, Streptophyta, Magnoliopsida, Solanales, Solanaceae.
UAUAGAAAUGAAUCAAAUGUUUGAUCACCAGCAAAAGUUGGAUAUAACUUGUGAAUAUUGUGAGUUAAGUCUUGCAUACAUCAAGUGAAGAACACAAAUGCACUAUACAAAAUCUUGAGGUACUGAGAAGGACUCAAGGUGAUCAAGAGAUUAAUUAGAAAAUCUAUACAUCUAGUUAUUUUAUUUUUGUGGAGGGGAAUCUUGCUACUUGGACAAGCAAGAAAUUAACAAAAGUUUGUGACAAGAUCAAGUGCAAAAAUUGAGUUUCGAGGCUAUACACUAGAGAUCGAUUGUUGAAGUGGAAGUUGAUGGAUCAGAAUAUCUUCCCUUCGAGUGAAGCACAACAGGAAUCAACUGAUCACUUGUUCUUUAAAAUAUUCCUUUUCCGUUGUUGUUUGGAACAUGCUCAUGCGCGGGCAAGUACAUAAUAGGAACACAAUGGAAUUGACAAAGUUAGUGCAUGCGUUGGAUGCUCUCAAGGAAAAUUAAUAGAAAGGAUGCACAUGCUGAACUAUUUAGGAUUAUUGUAGCUGGUGUAGUGUAUAAAACAUGAAUGGAAAGGAACAGUCGAGUCUUUUGGACCAAGAAGAUAAACCAUUCGAUUCUCUGAAGGAAAAUUAUUCAGAUGGUGGUGAUGCGAGGUAGUUUAAAGGCCAAGUUAGCUAGUCGAAUUGCGGAACCAAUUAAUUACUAUCCUUGAAGUACUAUAGCUCAUGUGUAGUUGCUUAACUGGUGGUAUGUUGGGACUAUGUCCAACAAACCAGAUACACGUACAUGAUUCCCUACUUUGGUAUAUCAUUAGUCUAUAUUACCCCAAAAAAAAAGUUUGUUGUAAAAUCUAAUGUUAUUUUUUUAUGAUUGUUAUUUUAA